GUGGUGGCUCAGAAGUAGAGCACUCACCUAGCAUGCGUGAGGCUCUGGGUUCAAUCCUCAGCACCACA
Ictidomys tridecemlineatus (thirteen-lined ground squirrel) is the source of this 68-nucleotide non-coding RNA. Lineage: Eukaryota; Metazoa; Chordata; Mammalia; Rodentia; Sciuridae. The record is from Rfam.